Molecule: ribosomal RNA, 253 nt
Filed under: uncultured bacterium
Lineage: Bacteria
Description: partial 16S ribosomal RNA
Rfam family: Bacterial small subunit ribosomal RNA
Source: RNAcentral
UACGUAGGGGGCUAGCGUUGUCCGGAAUCAUUGGGCGUAAAGAGCGUGUAGGCGGCCCGGUAAGUCCGCUGUGAAAGUCGGGGGCUCAACCCUCGAAUGCCGGUGGAUACUGUCGGGCUAGAGUGCGGAAGAGGCGAGUGGAAUUCCUGGUGUAGCGGUGAAAUGCGCAGAUAUCAGGAGGAACACCGAUUGUGAAGGCAGCUCGCUGGGACGUCACUGACGCUGAGACGCGAAAGCGUGGGGAGCAAACAGG